AUGGGGGAACCCUGAUGCAGCGACGCCGCGUGGAGGAAGAAGGUCUUCGGAUUGUAAACUCCUGUUGUUGAGGAAGAUAAUGACGGUACUCAACAAGGAAGUGACGGCUAACUACGUGCCAGCAGCCGCGGUAAAACGUAGGUCACAAGCGUUGUCCGGAAUUACUGGGUGUAAAGGGAGCGCAGGCGGGAGAACAAGUUGGAAGUGAAAUCCAUGGGCUCAACCCAUGAACUGCUUUCAAAACUGUUUUUCUUGAGUAGUGCAGAGGUAGGCGGAAUUCCCGGUGUAGCGGUGGAAUGCGUAGAUAUCGGGAGGAACACCAGUGGCGAAGGCGGCCUACUGGGCACCAACUGACGCUGAGGCUCGAAAGUGUGGGUAGCAAACAGGAUUAGAUACCCUGGUAGUCCAAGGGCGAAUUC
RNAcentral lists this ribosomal RNA (419 nucleotides) under uncultured bacterium. RNAcentral describes it as "SSU rRNA". It matches the Rfam family "Bacterial small subunit ribosomal RNA", at positions 371 to 808 of the family's 1533-position model. The record is from RNAcentral.